Molecule: microRNA precursor, 79 nt
Organism: Anolis carolinensis (green anole)
Lineage: Eukaryota; Metazoa; Chordata; Lepidosauria; Squamata; Anolidae
Rfam family: mir-219 microRNA precursor family
About the family: The hairpin precursors (represented here) are predicted based on base pairing and cross-species conservation -- their extents are not known. In this case the mature sequence is excised from the 5' arm of the hairpin.
Source: Rfam
UUUGCUCCUGAUUGUCCAAACGCAAUUCUUGUCCAGAAAACAUGCAAACCAAGAAUUGUGUCUGGACAUCUGUGGCCAA